AUCUAUGGCCAUGCUACCCUGAAUGUGCCUGAUCCUGUCUGAUCUCGGAAGCUAAGCAGGGUUGGGCCUGGUUAGUACUUGGAUGGGAGACCACCUAGGAAUACCAGGUGCUGUAGGCG
RNAcentral lists this ribosomal RNA (119 nucleotides) under Pteropus alecto (black flying fox). Lineage: Eukaryota; Metazoa; Chordata; Mammalia; Chiroptera; Pteropodidae. The record is from RNAcentral.